RNAcentral lists this transfer RNA (72 nucleotides) under Camelus bactrianus (Bactrian camel). It matches the Rfam family "tRNA". Rfam says of the family: Transfer RNA (tRNA) molecules are approximately 80 nucleotides in length. RNAcentral also lists the same sequence under 3 other names. The record is from Rfam by way of RNAcentral. Lineage: Eukaryota; Metazoa; Chordata; Mammalia; Artiodactyla; Camelidae.
GAGGUUAUAGCUCAGUGGUAGAGUGUCUGCUUAGUACGCAUAAGGCCCCGGGUGCAAUUUCCAGUACCUCCA